RNAcentral lists this unclassified non-coding RNA (170 nucleotides) under uncultured Sarea. RNAcentral's name for it is "sequence contains ITS1". Lineage: Eukaryota; Fungi; Ascomycota; Lecanoromycetes; Pertusariales; Pertusariaceae. The record is from RNAcentral.
CCGAGUUAGGGUCCUCUGGGCCCGAUCUCCAACCCUCUGUGUAUCUACCUCAUGUUGCUUUGGCGGGCCGUUGGGCCUGGCCCACCGUCGGCUUCGGCUGGCGCGCGCCCGCCAGAGACCACCUAAAACUCUUGUUUAUCAAUGUCGUCUGAGUACUAUGCAAAUAGUUA